This 264-nucleotide long non-coding RNA is filed under the name Elaeis guineensis (African oil palm). RNAcentral's name for it is "long non-coding RNA (EGUI_LNC011998)". The record is from RNAcentral. Lineage: Eukaryota; Viridiplantae; Streptophyta; Magnoliopsida; Arecales; Arecaceae.
CCGUGGAGGUUCUACGUUGAUACUUUGAUACCCUGCCAUUGGGAGUUAUGUAGUGGCACUUUGAUUUAGUUCAUGGUUGUUGAGACGAACAUGAUGUUUGAAAGAAAUUGAUUUACGAAUAAAAAUAAAUUUACACUAAUUUUAUUUGAUUAAUAUUAUAUAUUUUGAAUUGAUAUGCCUUGCAUGCUUGUUUUCAGUAUAUUAUUAUUACUAAAUUUAUUUAACUAAAGUGUACAUUACUUAUUGAGCUGUCUAGCUUAUUAC